RNAcentral lists this long non-coding RNA (1472 nucleotides) under Suricata suricatta (meerkat). RNAcentral describes it as "lncRNA (ENSSSUG00005012397.1)". The record is from RNAcentral. Lineage: Eukaryota; Metazoa; Chordata; Mammalia; Carnivora; Herpestidae.
CACCCAGCACAGGAGGAUUGCCGCGGGUGGGGUGAGAAGAGGGGACCACAGGCAAACCUGCCCCACCUGGCCCAGUGUGAUGGCUCCAGGACCGGGUGCGGCGGCAGCUCCGGCUCUGCCCACGUGUCUAGGUCUCUACUAGCCACUCCCCAGGUUCUCUCUCCUGCACCCAAGGGUGCUCAUCUUCCCCUGCUGCCAAGUGACUUUGCAGCCCCUUCUCUCCCUUCUUUUACUUCAUUGCUAGAACGUUGGGUUGUGCCAGUUCCCUGGUUCUAACCUUGGGUUCUCUUACCCACGUUCUGCUUCUCCUCCUCGCCACUCUCCUCAAUUGAACAUUUCCUCCAGAAAUCCCAUCGUGGCUCUACAAGUUGUAAGAAGUUGAGCACAUUAGUGUCAUAACAGAAAGGCGGAAGUAUACCAUCUCUUGAAGCUGCAGGUAGAAUUUCAGGGCAGCGGGUGCGGUCAGGGAUGAGGUCACAAUGCUUCCUUCUGUUUGGAGGGCAGAGCAUUGGACGUGAUGAGCAGGGCCAGAAAGGAAGUUCAAUGUUCCUCACAUUGAGACAACUUGGGGGACCAGAGAGGUUUGUCCCACAUCAGGGGGAUCCCUCAAAGAGAGGUCUGCCUGGAAGGACUUGAACAUUAGUGAGGAACCCUGGGGAUGCUGGUGGGAGCCCAGAGCUCGGAAGAACUUCAUUCUCAGCAAAGAUUGUGCAGUGGGCAUCACCGGACAGCAUCUCACUCCUGCAGUGAUUAGUAUAAAUCAGGAAACCUACAUCGGCUUCAAAGAGUUCUUCCCACUUGCUCAGGACACCACCUAACACUGGCCCAGUUACUGGCCAUCGGGAAGGAAGGGAGAUGAGUGACUGUGGUGGCCUUUCCAGCCUGUCAUCACAGCUUCAGCCUUUGUAAAAUCAAUCACGGAGGUGGGUGCCGACGACGAUGGCCCUAACCUUCUUGGGAAAAAAAGGCACAGGACUUUUGCAGCUGAAGAAGAUAGAGUGUGUGUCUGUCACUAUGUAGAGAAGGAGUGGCAUGGAAGGGAAAACUGCAGAAGCAGUGCCAUGGACAACGCUUUUAUUAUAAAUUUGGCACCUUCAGAUUCAGAGCCUAUCAGCUUCCAGAGCUCCUCUCUCGCUCUCUCGCUCUCUCUCUCUCUCUCUCUCUCUCUCUCUCUCUCUCUCUCUCAACAUGAGUGGUCAGAUUUCCAUACACAUUUUUGAAUUGAAAUACAUGACUUAAAAGUCCCAAUCUCGGGACCCCUGGGUGACUCAGUCAGUUAAGCAUCCGACUGUAACUUACAGCUUGUAAGUUCAACCCCCACAUCUGGCUCUGUGCUAACAGUUCUGAGCCUGCUUCGAAUUCUGUGUCUCCCUCUUUUUCUCUACCCCUCCCCUGGUCAUGCUCUGUCUCUCUCUGUGUCAAAAAUAAAUAAUCAUUAAAGAAUUUUUUUUUAAGUCCCAAUCUCAAAAUUU